Molecule: ribosomal RNA, 531 nt
Filed under: Sarinda sp. SRCRS
Lineage: Eukaryota; Metazoa; Arthropoda; Arachnida; Araneae; Salticidae
Description: partial 16S ribosomal RNA
Rfam family: Bacterial large subunit ribosomal RNA (bases 136-433)
Source: RNAcentral
AGCCGCAAUUAGUGCUAAGGUAGCAUAAUCACUUGUUCUUUAAAUAAGGACUAGAACAAAAGAUUUAACAUCUUAAUAAAUUUCUUUAAUUUUUAAAUUAAAUUUAUCUUAAAUGUAAAAAGACAAUUAUUAUAUAGAAAGACGACAAGACCCUAUCGAACUUUACUUUAGUUAAACUGGGGCAGUUAAUUAAUUAUAAUUUUAAUUCAAAUUUAAUAUAAAAUAUCCAAUUAUUUUUGAUAAAUUAGUUACCAUAGGGAUAACAGUGCAAUUAUUAUUUAGAGACCUUAUCUAAAAAAUAGAUUACAACCUCGAUGUUGAAUUAAUAACCUUUUUCUUAAAGCAACAUUUAUAAAAGGAAGUCUGUUCGACUUUUAAAAAAUUACAUGAUUUGAGUUCAGACCGGUAUAAGCCAGGUCGGUUUCUAUCUUCUUCGAAAAUUUUUACAGUACGAAAGGACCUAAAAAUACAAAUUAAUUUAAAAUGUUAUUGGCAGAUAAAUGCAUUAGAAUUAGAAUCUAAUAAUAAUAA